GCCUGGGUAUAAAUCCUUUGGAAUAGGGUAUCAUAGAGGGUGAGAAUCCCGUCUUUGACUCAGUGCAUGCUACUAUGUGAUACGUUUUCAAAGAGUCGAGUUGUUUGGGAAUGCAGCUCAAAAUGGGUGGUAAAUUUCAUCUAAAGCUAAAUAUUGGCGAGAGACCGAUAGCGAACAAGUACCGUGAGGGAAAGAUGAAAAGAACUUUGAAAAGAGAGUUAAACAGUGCGUGAAAUUGUUGAAAGGGAAACGCUUGACACCAGUUAUGCGGGUGGAAAAUCAGUCUUUUGCAAUGGGGAGUUGUGGGCGUUCAGACCGCAAGGCUGGCGUUUGCUUCAUCUUUGUUGUAAGUGAUGCACUUUUUCAUUUGCAGGUCAACAUCAGUUUGCUCUGCUGGACAAAACUCCAAGGGAAGGUGGCAGCUUAGGCUGUGUUAUAGCCCUGGAGCGAUACAGUGGGGUGGACUGAGGUUUC
This 474-nucleotide ribosomal RNA is filed under the name Mortierella sarnyensis. RNAcentral describes it as "eukaryotic LSU rRNA". It matches the Rfam family "Eukaryotic large subunit ribosomal RNA", at positions 173 to 596 of the family's 3401-position model. Lineage: Eukaryota; Fungi; Mortierellomycota; Mortierellomycetes; Mortierellales; Mortierellaceae. The record is from RNAcentral.